Molecule: ribosomal RNA, 858 nt
Filed under: Triticum aestivum (bread wheat)
Lineage: Eukaryota; Viridiplantae; Streptophyta; Magnoliopsida; Poales; Poaceae
Description: partial small subunit ribosomal RNA
Source: RNAcentral
AUGGCCUGCUACCCGUGCAACCCAUACCCUCACCUCCCCGCAGGCACCACGAUCAUUGCUCCGGGCCCUGAACGAGCACAGCGAGGCUACAUCGUCCUCGGUGGUGAGCUCCCUAUGGUCUGUGACGAGUGGGCUAUUGCUACUCUGGUUCCUGCUAUUCCUCCUGAAGAUUUCCCUGCCGCCAAUGCAAUGAUCAUUGAGUACCUCGAAGCCAAGGGAUGGAGGAUUAACUACUCCUCCAGAUGUGGUAUGGGUACUGCUCUGAUCCAAUUUACAACUGCUUGUUCAAGAGAUCCUGCCAUAAAUAAUAGUCCCUAUGAGAUCAGGGACUCUGUUCUUCGCAUUACCAGACAUGAUAGGAGUUUGAAAUACCGUAGCAUCACUUUUACCCAUGAUGUUUGGCUCAUGUUGAUGAACUAUCCAUUGGAAUGCUGGGAGGUAGGAGUUGUUAGCCGCACCAUAUCUCAAUACGGUAGAUUUCUGAUCUGGAACAAGGACCCGAGAGACAAAACUAGGAUUAUUGUUAAGGUCAGAGUUAUGAAUGUGGAUACUUUACCUGUCAGUAUUGUUGUUCUGCGCAAUUUGGACAAUGUUGGGUAUGGUGAUUCCUGGACUUGUCCCACAUAUAUUCUUUCUCGUGAGCUCAUUGGCCAGCUUGGCGGUGAUGAGGAUCCUCUUCCCCCAGAUGGAGGAAACCCACAUCCUCUCCCGCAUGUUCAGGAGGGUUUUGGCAUGAUGAAGUUCUUGGUAAAAUCCCCUUGGAGCAGGUUGUUAUCAACCCACACAAUAAGCAUCUUGGAGCUCCUUAUGAGGAUGUUCAUGCACCUGUUGCUGCUGACAAUGCCAACAAUAAUAUGA